ACUACGGGAGGCAGCAGUAGGGAAUCUUCCACAAUGGGCGAAAGCCUGAUGGAGCAACGCCGCGUGGGUGAAGAAGGUCUUCGGAUCGUAAAACCCUGUUGUCAGAGAAGAAAGUGCGCGAGAGUAACUGUUCACGUUUCGACGGUAUCUAACCAGACAGCCACGGCUAAAUACGUGCCGGGAGCCUCGGUAGUACGUAGGUGGCAAGCGUUAUCCGGAUGUAUUGGGCGUAAAAGUGACGCAGGCGGUCUUGUACGUCCGAUGGGAAAACCGUCGGCUGAACCGGAGUAGGGCAUGGAAAACUGUGAGACUUGAGUGCAGUAGAGGAGGGUGGAACUCCAUGUGUAGCGGUGAAAUGCGUAGAUAUAUGGAAGAACACCAGGGGCGAAAGCGGCUCGCUGGGCUGUAACUGACGCUGAGGUUCGAAAGCGUGGGUAGCAAACAGGAUUAGAUACCCGAGUAGUC
Molecule: ribosomal RNA, 465 nt
Filed under: uncultured bacterium
Lineage: Bacteria
Description: partial 16S ribosomal RNA
Rfam family: Bacterial small subunit ribosomal RNA
Source: RNAcentral